This is a long non-coding RNA of Zophobas morio, 531 nucleotides long. RefSeq lists it as uncharacterized. Lineage: Eukaryota; Metazoa; Arthropoda; Insecta; Coleoptera; Tenebrionidae. The record is from RefSeq and is a predicted model, not a curated record. The transcript is spliced from 4 exons.
CUCUGUUGCACAGUCUUGUACACGCGCGAAGAUUAUUCGUUACAGAAUACUCAAAAAAAGAAGUGCAUACCUGCGAUUGUGAUUGAUCCGUUAAAAUACAAAUGUUCAAUUACCGUAAAUUCAAUCCUGAAGAACAAAAAAAUUUUUCUUCAUCUUAAUGAAUUAGAAAUCAAGACAGAAUAAAAAGAUGACGAGCAGCGAGUAAGUUUCUAAAUUAUUCGUUACGAUAUACUCAAAAUAGAAGUGCGUACCUGCGAUUGUGAUUGAUCCGUUAAAAUACAAAUGUUGUAUCACCAUAAAUUGAAUCCUGAAGAACAAAAAUUUUUUGUAUUAGACAUCAGCAUGGAAAAAACGGAGCUAACACACAUUUCAAAUACGAUUGCGUAUGGAAAGUUUACCUAUAUCAAAUGACGAAAUGGAAAUCGAAAUUUCUGAUGUGCAGCAAAAUACAAAAGUAGAAUCAAUUUUAAAUUCAAUCCUGAAGAACAAAAAAACUUUGUUACAAAAACACAUACUGAAAUGGAAAUUAGC